Molecule: non-coding RNA, 124 nt
Organism: Brassica napus (rape)
Lineage: Eukaryota; Viridiplantae; Streptophyta; Magnoliopsida; Brassicales; Brassicaceae
Source: Rfam
GGAAUAUAAGAAACCGUUUCUUAACUUUAAAUUAAAAAACUAAGAACCGAUUCUUAAAUAUCUUAUUUAAGAACCGAUUCUUAGUUUUUUUAGUUUAAAGUUAAGAGACGGUUUCUUAUAUUCC